RNAcentral lists this ribosomal RNA (475 nucleotides) under uncultured Acholeplasma sp. RNAcentral describes it as "bacterial SSU rRNA". It matches the Rfam family "Bacterial small subunit ribosomal RNA", at positions 900 to 1382 of the family's 1533-position model. The record is from RNAcentral. Lineage: Bacteria; Bacillati; Mycoplasmatota; Mollicutes; Acholeplasmatales; Acholeplasmataceae.
CUUAAAGGAAUUGACGGGACCCCGCACAAGCGGUGGAUCAUGUUGUUAAUUCGAUGAUACGCGAAGACCUUACCAGGUCUUGACAUCCCCCGCGAUGCUUUAGAGAUAAAGCGGAGGUAUUCGGGGAGACAGGUGGUGCAUGGUUGUCGUCAGCUCGUGUCGUGAGAUGUUGGGUUAAGUCCCGCAACGAGCGCAACCCCUAUUGCUAGUUACCAUCAUUAAGUUGGGGACUCUAGCGAGACUGCCAGUGAUAAACUGGAGGAAGGUGGGGAUGACGUCAAAUCAUCAUGCCCCUUAUGACCUGGGCUACAAACGUGAUACAAUGGCUGGAACAAAGGGAUGCGAAGCAGUGAUGUGGAGCGAAACCCAUAAAAACAGUCUCAGUUCGGAUUGAAGUCUGCAACUCGACUUCAUGAAGUCGGAAUCGCUAGUAAUCGCGGAUCAGAACGCCGCGGUGAAUACGUUCUCGGGGUUU